UGCCAGGAACCAUGCGAGAGGCCGCCGCCCAACCCCGCCAGGUCCGGAAGGAAGCAACGGUAAGCGUUUGGCUUUUGCGCCGUGGACCUCCUGGCGGGG
This 99-nucleotide signal recognition particle RNA is filed under the name Spirochaetaceae bacterium. RNAcentral describes it as "signal recognition particle sRNA small type". It matches the Rfam family "Bacterial small signal recognition particle RNA". Rfam says of the family: The signal recognition particle (SRP) is a universally conserved ribonucleoprotein involved in the co-translational targeting of proteins to membranes. Archaeal SRP consists of a 7S RNA and homologues of the eukaryotic SRP19 and SRP54 proteins. Lineage: Bacteria; Pseudomonadati; Spirochaetota; Spirochaetia; Spirochaetales; Spirochaetaceae. The record is from RNAcentral.